Molecule: ribosomal RNA, 468 nt
Filed under: uncultured bacterium
Lineage: Bacteria
Description: partial 16S ribosomal RNA
Rfam family: Bacterial small subunit ribosomal RNA
Source: RNAcentral
GACGAACGCUGGCGGCGUGCUUAACACAUGCAAGUCGAACGGAAAGGCCCUGCUUUUGUUGUGUGCUCGGGUGGCGAGCGGGUGGGACACACGUGUGUAACCUGCCCUUGACUUUGGGAUAUCUUCAGGAAACUGGGGCUACUACCGGUUAUGAGCUCCUGCUGCAUGGGGUGGGUUGGAAAGUUUCGGCGGUUGGGGUUGGACUCGCGGGUUAUCAGCUUGUUGGUGGGGUAGUUGCUUACCAAGGCUUUGACGGGUAGCCGGCCUGAGAGGGUGACCGGCCACAUUGGGACGGAGAUACGGCCCAGAAUCCUACGGGAGGCAGCAGUGGGGAAUAUUGCACAAUGGGCGGAAGCCUGAUGCAGCAACGCCGCGUGCGGGAUGACGGCCUUCGGGUUGUAAACCGCUUUCGCCUGUGACGAAGCGUUAGUGACGGUAAUGGGUAAAGAAGCACCGGCUAACUACGUG